RNAcentral lists this ribosomal RNA (497 nucleotides) under uncultured bacterium. RNAcentral's name for it is "partial 16S ribosomal RNA". It matches the Rfam family "Bacterial small subunit ribosomal RNA", at positions 28 to 507 of the family's 1533-position model. The record is from RNAcentral.
GAUGAACGCUGGCGGCGUGCCUAAUACAUGCAAGUCGAGCGAACAGACGAGGAGCUUGCUCCUCUGACGUUAGCGGCGGACGGGUGAGUAACACGUGGAUAACCUACCUAUAAGACUGGGAUAACUUCGGGAAACCGGAGCUAAUACCGGAUAAUAUAUUGAACCGCAUGGUUCAAUAGUGAAAGACGGUUUUGCUGUCACUUAUAGAUGGAUCCGCGCCGCAUUAGCUAGUUGGUAAGGUAACGGCUUACCAAGGCAACGAUGCGUAGCCGACCUGAGAGGGUGAUCGGCCACACUGGAACUGAGACACGGUCCAGACUCCUACGGGAGGCAGCAGUAGGGAAUCUGCCGCAAAGGGCGAAAGCCUGACGGAGCAACGCCGCGCGAGUGAUGAAGGUCUUCGGAUCGUAAAACUCUGUUAUUAGGGAAGAACAAAUGUGUAAGUAACUAUGCACGUCUUGACGGUACCUAAUCAGAAAGCCACGGCUAACUACGUG